RNAcentral lists this transfer RNA (67 nucleotides) under Tarbinskiellus portentosus. Its description in RNAcentral is "tRNA-Leu". RNAcentral also lists the same sequence under 1 other name. Lineage: Eukaryota; Metazoa; Arthropoda; Insecta; Orthoptera; Gryllidae. The record is from RNAcentral.
ACUAAUAUGGCAGAAGAAGUGCAAUGAAUUUAAGCUUCAUUAAUAAAGAUUAUAUCUUUUUUUAGUA